Long non-coding RNA from Myotis myotis, 831 nucleotides. RefSeq lists it as uncharacterized. NCBI's taxonomy places the organism in Eukaryota, Metazoa, Chordata, Mammalia, Chiroptera, Vespertilionidae. The record is from RefSeq and is a predicted model, not a curated record. The transcript is spliced from 2 exons.
GAGUGCCUCCCUGCCUGCCGCUCGCUUCCCUGACCCCGCGCCCGCACGCGCCCUGCGGACUCGGCGCCGGAAUUGGCGCCGGGCGCCUGGGCCUUGGUGCGGCGCUGCGGCCCAUGGGGAGGGUCGGCCUGGCGGACCGGAUUUAACCCAUUGGAAUUAAUAAUGGAAGCCAGACUCAGAUUUGAACAAAGGAAAUUCAUCCUAAAAUGCUACUGGAAGUUUGAAAAUGUAGUUGGAGUACAAAGACAAUUUAUGAGGGAGUUUCAAACAGGUCCAUCUACGAGACUUACCAUUACUUGAAUUAGAAAUAAGUUUGAAGCCGAUGGAACUAGUAUUCAGAAUGUCCACAAAAAGCGUUCCGGAAAACCACAGACACCCACAAAGCAAGAAAGGGUACUGGAAAUGUAUCUCCAAAGUCCAAGAAAAUCUGUGCAGCAAACAAGUUGUGAUGUAGGAAUUUCAAAAUUGUCCAUCGUAUUUUAAAGCGCUCCCAUUGGAAAAGUGACAUCCAAGAUUAGUCCAUGCAAUCAAUGAAGAUGAUCGGACCUAAGUGUGGAGUAUUACGAAUAGUACUUGGCAAGAUGUGUAGUAGAUGCACACUUUCCAACAAAGAUUGAAGUCAUGAGGCAACAUUUAAAUUAAAUGGUUCGAUUAACCACUACAACUGCACCUUCUGGGGAACUGAGAAUCUACAUGUUAUGGUGGAACAUUGCCAGGGCUGACCAGCAGCCCCUGAGCGAUGGAUGAACAAAUUACUCCAACACAGGUUUCUGUGAAAGAGAGGGCUAAGGGACUCUUACUUCAGUAGUAAAAGCAGUCCUGUUCACCUUC